Molecule: ribosomal RNA, 507 nt
Filed under: uncultured bacterium
Lineage: Bacteria
Description: bacterial SSU rRNA
Rfam family: Bacterial small subunit ribosomal RNA
Source: RNAcentral
UAGUCCACGCUGUAAACGAUGAUCACUCGUUGUUGGCAAUACAUCGUCAGCGACUAAGCGAAAGCAUUAAGUGAUCCACCUGGGGAGUACGGUCGCAAGAUUGAAACUCAAAGGAAUUGACGGGGGCCCGCACAAGCGGUGGAACAUGUGGUUUAAUUCGAUGAUACGCGAGGAACCUUACCUGGGCUUAAAUGUAGGACGACAGAUCGGGAAACUGAUCCUUCUUCGGACGGACUACAAGGUGCUGCAUGGUUGUCGUCAGCUCGUGCCGUGAGGUGUCGGUUUAAGUCCCAUAACGAACGCAACCCUUAUCGUUAGUUACCAGCGAGUAAUGUCGGGGACUCUAACGAAACUGCCGGUGUAAACCGUGAGGAAGGUGGGGAUGACGUCAAAUCAGCACGGCCCUUAUGUCCAGGGCUACACACGUGUUACAAUGACCAGUACAAAGGGCAGCUACCUGGUGACAGGAUGCUAAUCUCUAAAACUGGUCUCAGUUCGGAUUGAAGU